AAAGGCUAUGUAUUCUGAGCUCAUCUGGAUCAGAGGAGUCAGCACUGUCAUUUGUGUUUGGCAGAGACUGAAAGGCAGAAAUAUCAGAGAUGCUUACGUAGAAUUUGGAAAACUUUAAUUUUCACCAAAUACUCAUGUGCUUUGGGCUUACAGCAUAUGAAUUUUGGCAGAAGAGAAGUGAACCAGAAUAGAAGGAGGAGGG
RNAcentral lists this long non-coding RNA (202 nucleotides) under Homo sapiens (human). RNAcentral describes it as "non-protein coding lnc-AKR1C2-3:15". The record is from RNAcentral. Lineage: Eukaryota; Metazoa; Chordata; Mammalia; Primates; Hominidae.